CUGGGAUGAGAGUGUUGAUGCCUACAUCAUUACUUGUUAUUCAUCUCUAAUUGCCCUGGAGAAGACGAUAGUGAGCUGCCUUCAGGAACUGCUGUGCUCCAUCUGGUGCAUGUCCUAUGCUCUGGACCUCACGGCCUACAACAUUUGGGUCUCAAGAAAAAAACAACACCUUUCACAUUGCUCAAAGACCAGAAAGUUGCUGAUGAGUUUCUUUUCCCCUCAAUGGGAUGAAACUUGAACAUGUUGUUACAAAUGUGUGAACCACUGCAACAAAUGACCAGGACAUGCAUUUCAUUGCCUAUAGGUACAAGGAAGAUAUGAAGAGAGAGUGGUGCAAAAGGACUAAUACUGAAUUGCUUUAAUAAAG
Molecule: long non-coding RNA, 367 nt
Organism: Chiloscyllium plagiosum (whitespotted bambooshark)
Lineage: Eukaryota; Metazoa; Chordata; Chondrichthyes; Orectolobiformes; Hemiscylliidae
Source: RefSeq, a predicted model, not a curated record